RNAcentral lists this ribosomal RNA (497 nucleotides) under uncultured bacterium. Its description in RNAcentral is "partial 16S ribosomal RNA". It matches the Rfam family "Bacterial small subunit ribosomal RNA", at positions 28 to 507 of the family's 1533-position model. The record is from RNAcentral.
GAUGAACGCUGGCGGCGUGCCUAAUACAUGCAAGUCGAGCGAACAGACGAGGAGCUUGCUCCUCUGACGUUAGCGGCGGACGGGUGAGUAACACGUGGAUAACCUACCUAUAAGACUGGGAUAACUUCGGGAAACCGGAGCUAAUACCGGAUAAUAUAUUGAACCGCAUGGUUCAAUAGUGAAAGACGGUUUUGCUGUCACUUAUAGAUGGAUCCGCGCCGCAUUAGCUAGUUGGUAAGGUAACGGCUUACCAAGGCAACGAUGCGUAGCCGACCUGAUAGGAGGAGCGGCUGCAUGGGACCUUAGACAACGGUCAGACAACGCGGGGAGCCACCAGGGGGGAAGAGUGGCGAGUGGAGGAAAACAGUAUAGAGCAAGUCUGCGUGUGUGAAGAAGUGCUACGGAUUGUAAAGCACGUUAAGUGGGAAGAAACGGCAGGAGACGAAUACCGGCGUGGCUGGAGGGUACCAAAAGCGUAAGCAACGGCUAACUUCGUG